UACGAAGGGGGCUAGCGUUGUUCGGAAUUACUGGGCGUAAAGCGCGCGCAGGCGGUUCUUCAAGUCAGUGGUGAAAGCCCGGAGCUCAACUCCGGAAAUGCCAUUGAAACUGUUGAACUUGAGGACGAGAGAGGUGAGUGGAAUUCCCAGUGUAGAGGUGAAAUUCGUAGAUAUUGGGAGGAACACCAGUGGCGAAGGCGGCUCACUGGACCGGAACUGACGCUGAGGCGCGAAAGCGUGGGGAGCAAACAGG
This 253-nucleotide ribosomal RNA is filed under the name uncultured bacterium. RNAcentral's name for it is "partial 16S ribosomal RNA". It matches the Rfam family "Bacterial small subunit ribosomal RNA", at positions 524 to 776 of the family's 1533-position model. The record is from RNAcentral.